Molecule: long non-coding RNA, 7297 nt
Filed under: Patiria miniata (bat star)
Lineage: Eukaryota; Metazoa; Echinodermata; Asteroidea; Valvatida; Asterinidae
Description: uncharacterized LOC119722622
Source: RNAcentral
CUGAUGGCGAGGUAGGACUAGGAAUCGUACGACGGGUGAAGCGCUAAUUCCUUGCGCGCUUUGUUAAUGUUACGUAACUCCGAUGCAACCAUUCUUGUACUACGUAAACGCCAAGCUGUCUGAACAAUUUCACUCGAGUACUAUAAGAGCACCUCGCUUCACCAGCUGUAUGAUACAUUCGUACGCAAUUCAUGCGACAAUUCAAACAAAGAGAUUCUUCUGGCAAUCGGACAGUAAAGUUGAGUUCAAUCAUGGCAGCGGACUACAGCCGAUGACCAUCCAGAUUUUAAAGCGAACGCAACUAGUUCCGUAACUCAAACAAAAACUCAAUCGACUCCGUCGUGCAUCGUUUGGAGAAUCCAACGAACAAUCUAGCUACACGCCCCAAUCAAGCCAGCACGGAUAUCAAACAACGUCAGGAACUGAAUAAAUUGGCCGACCGUUCCCCAAGGCUGGGCCAGAGUUGAAGACUACAUCGUAGACGACUUGGCUGACUAAUCGGACGAUGAAAAACAUUCCGGAAAGCAGAAUAAUGGCGACGACCAACAUGACCAAGCAGGCAGAAGCUGCAGAAAAAACCCAAACAAGGCCAAUGCUCGCAAUCCUGUACGCCCUCUUCUUGCUGCGCAUUAUUCAUCAAUGCUUCGGAAUCGACCAGUUCCACACCUGCUUCCAGUUCCAGUGCGGAACUGCAGGCCACGUCGGAACCAACUCUCAUUCCUUGGCCUUGCGACACGUAGACAGGCCUCGCUCGCCGAUUGCAACCUUGUUCAGCAAACUUCUUCAGCAACCAGCGAUUCCGCCACAACAUGGCAAGAUUCAACGACCUCUGCCCAAAGGAUUAACGUUGCCAUCUUCCUGGUUCAGCCAAUCAAUCUCUGCAAUGUUCCUUGCGUCAUGUCUUCCAAACAAGCACAAGCAUUGUGUAAAGGAAAGUACCUUUUUUUCACCCAGCCAUAAUGACGCAGCACUUCGAUGCUCAUGGACACUAGGCGGGCUGCGAUUUUUUUCUCCAAAGGACAUCCAUUUACAUGCAUAUCUAAUGCCUCGUUCUCCAUAACACAAACCCAAGCAGUGCGUUCGUUUCCUUCCACCGCGCUUACUCGUGCUAGUGGCCUGAUGAACAGGGGUAAUAAUUGUGAAGCGCUUUUUUUUUUUUUUUAAAAAAGGAGCACAUUAAAUAUUAUUUAGUCAUUCAAUAUUAUAGUUUUUGACCACCGUUUUUUUUUUAUCAGGUGACGUUAAUUUGUGAUAUCUCUAAUUCUCACUAGCUCAUAAGUUUUAUUUCUCAUUCAAUGUUUAAUAUAAAGGCUUAAUUUGUUUCCAUUUAAUUCAUUUCAUUCAUUUAACAGAUUAUUGGUUGUGGUACAUAUAUACAUCUAUGUAAACAAUUGUUUACAUAAAUGUAAACCACAACUGUAAAUGUCAUUCACCUUAUUUGUAAUGUGUUAUUGUUUUUUCCAUUUUACAUUUACACCUUCAAGUAAGUUUUGAUGCCCCCAAAUCGGUUCAAGUAGCUAAUUUGCAGUAUGUUGAAUCACAGCCGUCAGCUGUGGUGCAGUGGCUAGACAGAGUGUAUUAUAUUUCUGUUAUUUUUUUUUCUUGUUAUUGAUAACAGACCAAAAACCAGACCAAAUACAGGUACAUUUAGUAGACAAAUAGCAUGAAGGAACAAAAGCAUUAACUUUGUUCCAUAUAAUAUUUUUCUACUUAAUGUACACGUAUUUCGCCUAAGAGUUGAGAACAUUUUCCUAACAAAUUAUUGGGGAGGGCAAAAACGAAGUGGUUAACGUCACUUAUCAAAACGAAAUAACCUGGGAAAACUAAGUCUCGUCGUUAACUUGACCAUCAUUAAUAUUGUCCAAAAAUGUAUAAAUAAAAAAGAAAAAAAAGUUCCAGAAUUCGCCCCUUUCGUUCACCAUAUCACGAAAUGUGUUGCAGAAUUCGCCCCUUUCGUUCCCGAUAUCACAAAAUUUGUUGCAGAAUUCGCCCCUUUCGUUCCUGAUAUCACAAAAUUGAAUUUCCGAAUUUCCGACAUUGGGUUUCAAAUUCAAUCUUAUGAUAUCGGGGACGAAAAGGGUGAAUUUCUGCAAAUUCUCACACAGCGCGACGCAGAAAGACUCGACGCAGAAAGACAUACACGGUGACCUUAAAAGACACAGUUAUGGGUGAAGACGCUCAAAGCGACGCUAAAGACACUCACCACAACACAUGAAGACUGUUGUCACGACACGUUAAGACAUACACAGCGGAGCAUUGAAGACAAAGCAACACGACGCGUUUAGACACCAAUCGCGCCGUUUGAAGACAACUUAACACGACGCAUGAAGACACACCAUGCAACGCAGAAAGACAUACACAGCGACCUUUUGAAGACACAGCUACGCGUGAAGACGCUCACAGCGACGCGUGGAAACUCUCACCGCAACGCAUGAAGACUGUUGUCAAGACACGUUAAGACAUACACCGCGCCGUUUGAAGAUACUCAACGCACAGCGCGACGCAGAAAGACAUAUACCGCAACGCAUGAAGACUGUUGUCACGACACGUUAAGACAUACACAGCGGAGCAUUGAAGACAAAACAACACGACGCCUUUGGACACCCAUCGCGCCGUUCGAAGACAACUCAACACGACACAUUAAGACACACAAUGAGACGCCGAAAAACAUACACAGUGACCUUAAAAGACAGGUUCGCGCGAAGAAGCUCACAGCGACGCGUGAAGACCCUCAUCGCAAUGCAUGAAGACUGUUGUCACGACACGUUAAGACACACACCGCGCCGUAUGAAGACACUCAACGCGACACAUUUGACACCAGAACGCGACGCAGAAAGACAUACACCAAGACUUUUAACGACGUUUACGGCCACGCUUGAAGACAUUCACAGCGACGUGUCAAGACACUAAACGCGAGGAAGAAACACAUACACCGCGUCUUUUAACGACGCUUAACGGCGACUCCUGAAGACACAUACCGCCACCGGUGAAGACUCCGCGACGGGUGAAGACACUCACAACGGCGCGUGAAAACAGUCACUUCAACGCAUGAGGAUUCUUGACACGACGUGUUCAGACACACCACGCCGCGCCGUUUUAAAACACACAACGCGACGCACCUUUGUGCGUCGCGUUGAAGAUACUCACAGCUACACUCACAGCGACGUGUAAAGACACUCACCGCGCCAAUUUAAAGACUACUCAAGUAGCUCAUCCAGUUCGACUCGGGCAAAGACAAACGAUUGAUUUUUUUGAAGUUCCAGACCCUUUAGUCUUUAUUAAAAACGCUUACCGCAACGAAGACAACACGAUGCAUGUGUAUACAUGCCACGCAACCUUUAACGACACUACCUCGACUCGUUAAUACGACACUCACAGCGAUCCUUGAAGACACUCAUCGCGACGCAUGACACACAACGCGAAGCAGAACGACAUACACAGCGACCUCUAACGACGAUUACCGCGACGCUUGAAGACACUGCAAGACUCAUCAUCGAGUCGUAAAGACACCUCAACGCGACAAUUAAAGACGCAGAACGCGACGCAGAAAGACACACACAACGACCUCGAACGGCGCUUACAGCGACGCGUUAAUACACUCAUUGCGACACCUUACAGCGUUGCGUGAAGACAUUCACCGCGACUCAUAAUCACACACAACGCUCAGCAGAAAAACAUACAAAGCGACCAUUAACGACGAUUGCCGCGACGCUUGAAGACACUGCGACACUCACAUCGACUCGACAAGACACUCAACGCGAUGCAUGAAGAUUGUUGUCACGACGGGUUGGGACACACACGGCGCCGUUCAUACACACACCGCGCCGUUUGAAGACACUUGGCCCGACGCAUGAUCACACACAAUGCAGAAAGAUAUACACCGCGUCUUUUAACGACACUCAACCGCAACGCAUGAAGACUGUUGUCACGACACGUUAAGACAUACACCGCGCCGUAUGAAGCGCUCAACGUGACACAUUAAGACAAAACGCGACGCAGAAAGACAUACAACGCUUGAAGACACUCACAGCGACACUCACAGCGACGUGUGAAGACACUCACAGCGACGCAUGAAGAUUGUCGUCACAACACGAUAAGACACACACCACGCCGUUUGAAGACACUCAACGCGACGGAGAAAGACAACAACAAAAAGCAUCUUUGAACGACGCUUACGGCGACUCUUGAGGACAUGUCACCGCCACGGGUGAAGACACCGCGACGGGUGAAGACACUCACAACGACGCGUGAAAACAGUCACUUCAACGCAUGAGGAUUCUUGACACGACGUGUUCAGACACACCGCGCCGCGCCGUUUUAAAACACACAACGCGACGCACCUUUGUGCGUCGCGUUGAAGAUACUCACUUCAACGCAUGAGGAUUCUUGACACGACGGGUUCAAACAAAGCGCGCCGUUUUAAAACACACAAAGCGACGCAGAAAGACAUACACCGCGUCUUUUAACGACGCUCGGCAGAAAGACACUCACCGCGACCACUCAAAGCAAAAUUGUUGACACGACGCUUUCAGACACACAGCGCCGUUUAAAGACAUUUAACGCAACGCAAUCUUGAUUGCCACGCGACGCAGAAAGCGACGCAGAAAGACAUACACCGCGUCUUUAAACGACGCUUACGGCGACGAUAGAAGACACCGCGACACUCACAGCGACCGUUGAAGACACUCACAGCGACGCGUGAAGACACUCACAAUGACGCGUGACGACGCAUGAGGAUUGUUGUCACGGCGCACACACCGCGAAGUUUGAAGACUCGUCGAGGUUCAGUAACCGCACACACAGCGCGACGCAUAAAGACAAACACAGCGACCUUUGAAGACACGGCUACGCGUGAAGACGCUCACAGCGACGCAUGAAGGCACUCACCGAAACGCAUUAAGAUUGUUGUUAAGACAUACAGCGAAGCAUGAAGAUUAUUGACACGACGCGAUCAGACACACUGCAAUGUUUUCUAGUGCACAACCUGACUAAUUAGUCACAUUGAUCUUCACAAUUAAUUACCUUUUAAAUUCACAUGAAGUUAUUUUGGGUCCGUUCACAUAGGUCCAUUCCCAUAUUUGUCCGUUACGACUUGCCCAUUAAGACGCACAACAAGACGAAGAAAGAUACACAACGACGGUUAUGCAGCUACAACGUUUACUGCGACCCGCUAAAGCGCACAAUGCGCCGCUUGAAGCAAAUACUAACGACGUUUUUGGUGUUUUUUUUCGUCAAGGAAUCGUCGGUUACUUUUUUUCUGAAGGGCUUUUGUGGUGGAAGUAAACAGAAAGAGCAAUAUAUUUCAGGCAGGGCAGCAACGCGUAUGGAAGACUGCCAUUUUGGAAAGUUUCAAAAUCGUGGGCACUUUCGGGUGUCGCCUCUUUAGUCCAUAAACCCGUGCAACUCGUGCGACUCGUGUUGUGUUGUCUUCAUGGUCGAGGUAGUGUCUUCACGCGUCGCUGCAAUUUGCUGACAGCAGGAACAAUAUAACGGAAUGUCGUUUUGUUUAGUUUUCCGACGCUAGUUUUCCGAAGAGAGGAGAAGAUUAAAGUUAGGUCAAUCGUUCACCUGCAGAAUGGUUCCCGUUGUCCAGAAGUGGACAAAGAUCGGUGCAGCCCGGUCUCUGAAGCUGCUUGUUACGAUGUCGUCAUCCUUCCGAAAAAAAAAUGCGACGCAGUUUGUGUUAGGGUUUAGACGACCGAAUUGAAGUGGAUGCUGUGUGGACAAAGGAACACCUUUGAUCAAGAUUUUUAUAUUUUGAUAUAUGAUUUGGAUCCCUAGGGUUCGUUAAACAUAUGUGAACAUUUUUAUUACCAUAAUUUAAAAUGCAAAUUACAAAUUUGUAUUAAGUAAGCCUACAGUAGCCAAAACCGGUUGUAUUCAUUUUAAUAGCCGGUAAAUACUCUCAGGCACUAAAGGGUUAAAUACUAAUUUUGACAUCGUAAAAAGGUACUCGGAUGACAGCUUCAAUUUACGUGUUCCUUUGCACGGAUGGAUACCCAUGACGUAUUUUUAUUUUGCCUGUGAAGAUUGAUGUAGUAUUUUAGAUGUCUAUAUUUCAUGUCUUUCCAGUCUUUUUACGCCCGCUGAGCCGAUUACUUGAAUAUCUUUGUGUCCCACAAAUACAAGUCGGUUUCAUUCAAUAUGUAUCAGGUUUUUUUCUAUAUGUCAUAAUUUUUUUGUAUCCAGAAAUGAACACUUAUUUCUCAGCAUUUAAGACCUCUUGACAUUAUACCGCUCUUAAAAUUUUCACAGGCAAUUUUUUCCCCCUACCUCUCAAUGGUCAUGCAAGAUCGAUAACGGUUAGGCCGCCUUAAUUUUAUUACAAUUUUGAUUAGAUUAUAGGUACAUAUUUUGUAUAUUAGAGAUCAAUUCAGUCAGAGAGUAGUUUUGCAUCAGUCUCUUUUUCUUAUUUAUUUAUUCAUUCAUUUUCAUUUCAUUUCUUGCACAUUAUUUUGAAAAAAAAAUUAUCUAAUAAUAAUAUUGGUUUUUAUAUAAAAAUAUAAAUACUUUUAUUAUCUAAGUAACAAACACACGUUUACUUGCACUUUUUUUGCGGAAGCUUAAAGUGACUAUCCACGUUUCCACGUUUCUUUGAUAAUUUAUCUCGGAAAGAUAGAUUAAACAGAUAUUUAUGACGUGUUACCCUGGAAAAAAAAAAAAAAAAUCUGUCCGAGAUACGAUAGUAUCUCUUUUUUUUUUCUUUUUUUCAUUUAUUGCGUCUAGCAAUGUUGCGAGAAAUAAAAAUUUCUCGCAACAUUGUUUACAUUUUUUAGAAAAACAUACGUACUUAAUACAUAGUUACAUUAUAUUUAAUUAAUUAAAAUAACAUGUUACAAAAACUUAUUCCAGAAGACUGUUUUUUUCUGUAAUUUAGCUCUCCAAUAAAGUUCUCGAAUGAAAGUGUCAAAGUUGAUAAGUUUGAUAAUUUAUCUCGGAAAGAUGGAUUAAACAAAUAUUUAUGACGUGUUACCCUGGAAGAAAAAAAAAAAAAAAAAAAAAAUUCUGUCCGAGAUACGAUAGUAUUUUUUUUUUUUUUUUAUCAUUUAUUGCGUCUAGCGCUUUUAUUUCUCGCAACAUUGUUUACAUUUUUUAGAAAAACAUACGUACUUAAUACAUAGUUACAUUAUAUUACAUUAAUUAAAAUAACAUGUUACAAAAACUUAUUCCAGAAGACUGUUUUUUUUUCUGUAAUUUAGCUCCAAUAAAGUUCUCGAAUGAAAGUGUCAAAGUUGAUAAGUUUGAUAAUUUAUCUCGGAAAGAUGGAUUAAACAGAUAUUUAUGACGUGUUACCCUG